Molecule: non-coding RNA, 105 nt
Organism: Caerostris extrusa
Lineage: Eukaryota; Metazoa; Arthropoda; Arachnida; Araneae; Araneidae
Source: the annotation of a GenBank genome assembly
GGCCAUACAAUGCUGUAUAUACCGGUUCUCAUUCUAUCACCGAAGUCAAUCACCAUCAGGGGUGGUCAGCACUUGGGAGGGUGACCCCUGGGAACACCGAGUAGC